Molecule: small nuclear RNA, 191 nt
Organism: Pteronotus mesoamericanus
Lineage: Eukaryota; Metazoa; Chordata; Mammalia; Chiroptera; Mormoopidae
Product: U2 spliceosomal RNA
Exons: 1
Source: RefSeq, a predicted model, not a curated record
ACCGCUUCUCCGCCUUUUGGCUAAGAUCAAGUGUAGUGUCUGUUCUUAUCAGUUAAUACCUGAUACAUUCUCUAUCCGAGGGUGAUAUAUUAAAUGGAGUUUUGAAGCUGGGAGAUGGAGUAGAAGCUUGCUCCGUCCACUCUGCGCAUAGACCUUGUAUUGCAUUACUUCCAGGAACGUGUGUGUGUGUG